GGGCGAGUGGCGGAAUUGGCAGACGCGCUGGACUUAGGAUCCAGUGCCGCAAGGUGUGCGGGUUCGAGUCCCGCCUCGCCCACCA
RNAcentral lists this transfer RNA (85 nucleotides) under Candidatus Hydrogenedentota bacterium. RNAcentral's name for it is "tRNA-Leu". It matches the Rfam family "tRNA". From Rfam's summary of the family: Transfer RNA (tRNA) molecules are approximately 80 nucleotides in length. Their secondary structure includes four short double-helical elements and three loops (D, anti-codon, and T loops). Further hydrogen bonds mediate the characteristic L-shaped molecular structure. tRNAs have two regions of fundamental functional importance: the anti-codon, which is responsible for specific mRNA codon recognition, and the 3' end, to which the tRNAs corresponding amino acid is attached (by aminoacyl-tRNA synthetases). tRNAs cope with the degeneracy of the genetic code in two manners: having more than one tRNA (with a specific anti-codon) for a particular amino acid; and 'wobble' base-pairing, i.e. permitting non-standard base-pairing at the 3rd anti-codon position. Lineage: Bacteria; Pseudomonadati; Candidatus Hydrogenedentota. RNAcentral also lists the same sequence under 1 other name. The record is from RNAcentral.